This 408-nucleotide ribosomal RNA is filed under the name uncultured bacterium. RNAcentral's name for it is "partial 16S ribosomal RNA". It matches the Rfam family "Bacterial small subunit ribosomal RNA", at positions 28 to 526 of the family's 1533-position model. The record is from RNAcentral.
GACGAACGCUGGCGGCGUGCUUAACACAUGCAAGUCGAACGAAGUGGCGAACGGGUGAGUAAUACGUGAGUAACCUGCCAUCCUUUUUGGGAUAAGCAUUGGAAACGGGGUCUAAUACCGAAUAAAGGGGGAUGGGCUCGCGGCCUAUCAGGUUGUUGGUGGGGUGAUGGACUACCAAGGCGGUGACGGGUAGCCGGCGGUAGUGGGUGACCGGCCAAAUUGUGCAUGAGUUACUGCCCGGACUUCUACAGGAGGGGGCAGUGGGGGAUAUUGGACAAUGGGCGAAAGCCUGCUGCAUGUACUUCGCGUGGGGGAUGAGGGCUUUCGGGUUGUAACACUCUUUCGCUAUCGACCGGGUAGGUGGAGAAUAAGCGCCGACUAACUACGUGCCAGCAGCCGCGGUAAUAC